Molecule: unclassified non-coding RNA, 198 nt
Filed under: uncultured Umbilicaria
Lineage: Eukaryota; Fungi; Ascomycota; Lecanoromycetes; Umbilicariales; Umbilicariaceae
Description: sequence contains ITS1, 5.8S rRNA gene and ITS2
Rfam family: 5.8S ribosomal RNA (bases 5-158)
About the family: 5.8S ribosomal RNA (5.8S rRNA) is a component of the large subunit of the eukaryotic ribosome. It is transcribed by RNA polymerase I as part of the 45S precursor that also contains 18S and 28S rRNA.
Source: RNAcentral
AAAAAACUUUCAACAACGGAUCUCUUGGCUCUGGCAUCGAUGAAGAACGCAGCGAAAUGCGAUAAGUAAUGUGAAUUGCAGAAUUCAGUGAAUCAUCGAAUCUUUGAACGCACAUUGCGCCCCCCGGCACUCCGGGGGGCAUGCCUGUCCGAGCGUCAUCGCACCCCUCAAGCUCGGCUUGGUGAUGGGCCCCGCCCC